UAUUGCACAAUGGGGGAAACCCUGAUGCAGCAACGCCGCGUGAGUGAAGAAGUAUUUCGGUAUGUAAAGCUCUAUCAGCAGGGAAGAAGAAAACGACGGUACCUGACGAAGAAGCUCCGGCUAACUACGUGCCAGCAGCCGCGGUAAUACGUAGGGGGCAAGCGUUAUCCGGAUUUACUGGGUGUAAAGGGAGCGUAGGCGGUUUAGCAAGUCAGAAGUGAAAGCCCGGGGCUCAACUCCGGGACUGCUUUUGAAACUGUUGAACUAGAUUGCAGGAGAGGUAAGUGGAAUUCCUAGUGUAGCGGUGAAAUGCGUAGAUAUUAGGAGGAACACCAGUGGCGAAGGCGGCUUACUGGACUGUAAAUGACGCUGAGGCUCGAAAGCGUGGGGAGCAAACAG
Molecule: ribosomal RNA, 399 nt
Filed under: uncultured bacterium
Lineage: Bacteria
Description: bacterial SSU rRNA
Rfam family: Bacterial small subunit ribosomal RNA
Source: RNAcentral